Molecule: ribosomal RNA, 405 nt
Filed under: uncultured bacterium
Lineage: Bacteria
Description: partial 16S ribosomal RNA
Rfam family: Bacterial small subunit ribosomal RNA
Source: RNAcentral
GAUGACGCUGGCGGCGUGCCUACUACAUGCAAGUCGAGCGAGCGGCGGACGGGUGAGUAAUGUCUGGGAAACUGCCUGAUGGAGGGGGAUAACUACUGGAAACGGUAGCUAAUACCGCAUACAAUCGGAUGUGCCCAGAUGGGAUUAGCUAGUAGGUGGGGUAACGGCUCACCUAGGCGACGCUCCCGAGCUGGUCUGAGAGGAUGACCAGCCACACUGUAAAUGAGAAACGGUCCAGAAUCCUACGGUAGGCAGCAGUGGGUAAUAUUGCACAAUGGGCGCAAGCCUGAUGCAGCCAUGCCGCGUGUAUGAAGAAGGACUGCGGGUUGUAAAGUACUGUCAGCGGGGAGGCGUGACCCGCAGAAGAAGCACCGGCUAACUCCGUGCCAGCAGCAGCGGUAAGUC